Molecule: non-coding RNA, 26 nt
Filed under: Rattus norvegicus (Norway rat)
Lineage: Eukaryota; Metazoa; Chordata; Mammalia; Rodentia; Muridae
Source: RNAcentral
GGAUUCUGCCUGAUCCUUUUGAGGGC